AUGUCAGCAUAACACAAAGAAACCCGACCCGAGAACCAGGAAUCUCUCUCUCUUCCCGUCAUUUUGCCCUAACCCUAUCUCAGGAAAUUCCCAAUUUCUAAAUUUCUCAUCUUCUUCCCACAAGCCCCUCGUUGAAUUUGCUAGCUACCUCUUCAUGUCGCGGCAUUUCGGUCGACAACCCUUCAAUCAAAUCUUUCUCAUAUUUCAGAUACGUGGGUUUUCAAAACCAUAUAUCGUCCAUAGCAGCCUGCAAUCACAACUUUCCCUUUUUAAUACACCUGCUUCACUUGCUCCAAUUUUAAAGUGCCCAAAAAAAUUUUCACUUGCGUAAUUUCCUCACGAAAAUGUCUUCCAUCGGAACUUCAAAGGGAAUCCUGGAAAUCGGAAAGUUCGCUUUCUAUGUCUCAAUCCCGAUUGAUCUGAUGUAUACUUUGGCAAACAAUUCCGAGAAUAUGAAGAAACUCGUCCAGAAGGUGGAUCAUGAGAGACAAAACUGAGGUGCAGAAUGGAAGACGAAUGUUGUGUGACAGAGAGUAUUCUUUGCAAUACUCGGUCAAAAUGGAGUUGGUUUGAGGUGAAUUUAGGUUAAAAGAUGAGUACUCCGGAUGCAACUCGAGCAGAACUUGCUCUUGUGAUUUUGUAUUUGAACAAAGCUGAAGCUAGGGAUAAGAUAUGCAGGGCAAUACAAUAUGGUUUGAAAAUUUGGAGUGAUGGACAGCCUGGUACUGCCCAAAAUGUUGACAAAUCAACCAGCUUGGCAUGGAAAGUUUUCCAUCUUUUAAGGUUGGGUGAUACCGUACAUUGUGGUGUAAAACUUUUAUCUAUAUAUAUAUAUAUAUAUAUAU
This is a long non-coding RNA of Vitis riparia (riverbank grape), 845 nucleotides long. RefSeq lists it as uncharacterized. The record is from RefSeq and is a predicted model, not a curated record. NCBI's taxonomy places the organism in Eukaryota, Viridiplantae, Streptophyta, Magnoliopsida, Vitales, Vitaceae. The transcript is spliced from 3 exons.